RNAcentral lists this ribosomal RNA (214 nucleotides) under Brachymyrmex admotus. Its description in RNAcentral is "partial large subunit ribosomal RNA". The record is from RNAcentral. RNAcentral also lists the same sequence under 1 other name. Lineage: Eukaryota; Metazoa; Arthropoda; Insecta; Hymenoptera; Formicidae.
GAAUUUAAUAUAUUUAAAUAAAUUUUUAUGAUUUUAUUUAAUUAUAUUUUAUUGGGAGGAUAUUUAAAUUUUAUAAACUUUAAUUUAUAUUUGUAUUAACAUAAAUUAGUGAAAUUAAAGAAUAAUUUAAUUUUUAUUUAUUAUUGAAGAAUUAAUUACCUUAGGGAUAACAGCGUAAUAUUAUUGGAAAGAUCAUAUUUAUAUUAAUGUUUGC